AUUGAACGCUGGCGGCAUGCCUUACACAUGCAAGUCGAACGGCAGCAUGAUCUAGCUUGCUAGAUUGAUGGCGAGUGGCGAACGGGUGAGUAAUACAUCGGAACGUGCCCUGUAGUGGGGGAUAACUAGUCGAAAGAUUAGCUAAUACCGCAUACGACCUGAGGGUGAAAGUGGGGGACCGCAAGGCCUCAUGCUAUAGGAGCGGCCGAUGUCUGAUUAGCUAGUUGGUGAGGUAAAGGCUCACCAAGGCGACGAUCAGUAGCUGGUCUGAGAGGACGAUCAGCCACACUGGGACUGAGACACGGCCCAGACUCCUACGGGAGGCAGCAGUGGGGAAUUUUGGACAAUGGGGGCAACCCUGAUCCAGCAAUGCCGCGUGUGUGAAGAAGGCCUUCGGGUUGUAAAGCACUUUUGUCCGGAAAGAAAUCGCACUUACUAAUAUUAGGUGUGGAUGACGGUACCGGAAGAAUAAGGACCGGCUAACUACGUGCCAGCAGCCGCGGUAAUACGUAGGGUCCAAGCGUUAAUCGGAAUUACUGGGCGUAAAGCGUGCGCAGGCGGUUGUGCAAGACCGAUGUGAAAUCCCCGGGCUUAACCUGGGAAUUGCAUUGGUGACUGCACGGCUAGAGUGUGUCAGAGGGGGGUAGAAUUCCACGUGUAGCAGUGAAAUGCGUAGAGAUGUGGAGGAAUACCGAUGGCGAAGGCAGCCCCCUGGGAUAACACUGACGCUCAUGCACGAAAGCGUGGGGAGCAAACAGGAUUAGAUACCCUGGUAGUCCACGCCCUAAACGAUGUCAACUAGUUGUUGGGGAUUCAUUUCCUUAGUAACGUAGCUAACGCGUGAAGUUGACCGCCUGGGGAGUACGGUCGCAAGAUUAAAACUCAAAGGAAUUGACGGGGACCCGCACAAGCGGUGGAUGAUGUGGAUUAAUUCGAUGCAACGCGAAAAACCUUACCUACCCUUGACAUGCCACUAACGAAGCAGAGAUGCAUUAGGUGCUCGAAAGAGAAAGUGGACACAGGUGCUGCAUGGCUGUCGUCAGCUCGUGUCGUGAGAUGUUGGGUUAAGUCCCGCAACGAGCGCAACCCUUGUCUCUAGUUGCUACGAAAGGGCACUCUAGAGAGACUGCCGGUGACAAACCGGAGGAAGGUGGGGAUGACGUCAAGUCCUCAUGGCCCUUAUGGGUAGGGCUUCACACGUCAUACAAUGGUGCAUACAGAGGGUUGCCAAGCCGCGAGGUGGAGCUAAUCCCAGAAAAUGCAUCGUAGUCCGGAUCGUAGUCUGCAACUCGACUACGUGAAGCUGGAAUCGCUAGUAAUCGCGGAUCAGCAUGCCGCGGUGAAAAGGUUCCCGGGUCU
Molecule: ribosomal RNA, 1359 nt
Filed under: uncultured bacterium
Lineage: Bacteria
Description: bacterial SSU rRNA
Rfam family: Bacterial small subunit ribosomal RNA
Source: RNAcentral